RNAcentral lists this ribosomal RNA (2148 nucleotides) under wastewater metagenome. RNAcentral describes it as "bacterial LSU rRNA". It matches the Rfam family "Bacterial large subunit ribosomal RNA", at positions 786 to 2925 of the family's 2925-position model. The record is from RNAcentral.
ACGUUGAAAAGUUAGGGGAUGAGCUGUGGAUAGGGGUGAAAGGCUAAACAAACUUGGAAAUAGCUGGUUCUCUCCGAAAACUAUUUAGGUAGUGCCUCGUGUCUCACUCUCGGGGGUAGAGCACUGUUAUGGCUAGGGGGUUCAUAAGAACUUACCAAACCAUUGCAAACUCCGAAUACCGAGAAGUACAAUCACGGGAGACAGACCAUGGGUGCUAACGUCCGUGGUCAAGAGGGAAACAACCCAGACCGCCAGCUAAGGUCCCUAAUGACGUGCUAAGUGGAAAACGAAGUGGGAAGGCAUAGACAGCUAGGAGGUUGGCUUAGAAGCAGCCAUCCUUUAAAGAAAGCGUAAUAGCUCACUAGUCGAGUCGUCCUGCGCGGAAGAUGUAACGGGGCUAAGCACGUAACCGAAGCUGCGGAUGCAUAUUUAUAUGCAUGGUAGGAGAGCGUUCUGUAGGCCUGCGAAGGUGUUCUGUGAGGAAUGCUGGAGGUAUCAGAAGUGCGAAUGCUGACAUGAGUAGCGAUAAAGGGAGUGAAAAGCUCCCUCGCCGAAAGCCCAAGGUUUCCUGCGCAACGUUCAUCGGCGCAGGGUGAGUCGGCCCCUAAGGUGAGGCAGAAAUGCGUAGCUGAUGGGAAACAGGUUAAUAUUCCUGUACUUGCAUUGACUGCGAUGUGGGGACGGAGAAGGUUAGGUCAGCCAGGUGUUGGAUGUCCUGGUUUAAGCAUGUAGGCGGAUCCUUUAGGCAAAUCCGGAGGGUCAACGCUGAGGUGUGACGACGAGUCUGCUUGCAGACGAAGUGAUUGAUACCAAGCUUCCAAGAAAAGCCACUAAGCUUCAGGUCAAUGUAAACCGUACCGCAAACCGACACAGGUGGGCAGGAUGAGAAUUCUAAGGCGCUUGAGAGAACCCGGGAGAAGGAACUCGGCAAAUUAGCACCGUAACUUCGGGAGAAGGUGCGCCCCGGUAGGGUGAAGGACCUCGCGUCUGGAGCUUGAUGGGGUUGCAGUGAAAAGGUGGCUGCGACUGUUUAAUAAAAACACAGCACUGUGCAAACACGAAAGUGGACGUAUACGGUGUGACGCCUGCCCGGUGCCGGAAGGUUAAGUGAUGGGGUGCAAGCUCUUGAUCGAAGCCCCGGUAAACGGCGGCCGUAACUAUAACGGUCCUAAGGUAGCGAAAUUCCUUGUCGGGUAAGUUCCGACCCGCACGAAUGGCGUAACGAUGGCCACACUGUCUCCUCUCGGGACUCAGCGAAGUUGAAAUGUUUGUGAAGAUGCAAUCUACCCGCGGCUAGACGGAAAGACCCCAUGAACCUUUACUGUAGCUUUGCAUUGGACUUUGACAAGAUUUGUGUAGGAUAGGUGGGAGGCUUUGAAGCGGGGACGCCAGUUCUCGUGGAGCCAACCUUGAAAUACCACCCUGAUGUUGUUGAGGUUCUAACCUAGGUCCGUAAUCCGCAUCGGGGACCGUGCAUGGUGGGCAGUUUGACUGGGGCGGUCUCCUCCCAAAGAGUAACGGAGGAGUGCGAAGGUAACCUAGGUACGGUCGGAAAUCGUACUGAUAGUGCAAUGGCAUAAGGUUGCUUGACUGCGAGACGGACAGGUCGAGCAGGUGCGCAAGCAGGUCAUAGUGAUGCGGUGGUUCUGUAUGGAAGGGCCAUCGCUCAACGGAUAAAAGGUACUCCGGGGAUAACAGGCUGAUACCGCCCAAGAGUUCACAUCGACGGCGGUGUUUGGCACCUCGAUGUCGACUCAUCACAUCCUGGGGCUGAAGUCGGUCCCAAGGGUAUGGCUGUUCGCCAUUUAAAGUGGUACGCGAGCUGGGUUUAGAACGUCGUGAGACAGUUCGGUCCCUAUCUGCCGUGGGCGUUUGAGAUUUGAGAAGAGUUGCUCCUAGUACGAGAGGACCGGAGUGGACGAACCGCUGGUGUUUGGGUUGUCAUGCCAAUGGCACUGCCCAGUAGCUACGUUCGGACAGGAUAACCGCUGAAAGCAUCUAAGCGGGAAGCCCCCUUCAAGAUUAGGUCUCCCUGAGAGCUUGACUCUCCUAAAGGGCCCUUGAAGACUACAAGGUUGAUAGGUUGGGUGUGGAAGUGCAGCAAUGCAUUGAGCUAACCAAUACUAAUUGCCCGUGAGGCUUGACCAU